CAUGCCCCCUCCCCAACCAGCCAUUUCCUCUCCCUCCAUCUCCCCACGCCACUCUCCCUACUCCCUCUCUCUCUCUAUCUCCCUCUCUCUAGCUCCCCAUGCAACAGCAGCCCCCCUCCCAUGGAGCUGACGACCGAGCCCUCCCAAGCUCCACUCUCACCUUGGCAAGCUCUCCCAUGGCGUCUCCCCCACCUCUACGGCAGUAAGGUGUAGGACUGAGAGAUGACGAUCGUGCAAGUGAUGUGGUGCCAACCACAAGAUGCAGUUGGUGGACGAUCUGAAGAGAUGAUGGACUUAUCCAGUGGAUGCUCGCCAAGCGAGUACCCACCCCAGCAAACACUAUCUAAGUGUAAAAAUAAAGGCAAGCCCCGGUUUUAUGCAUAACCGUUAUAUAUGCUAUUUUACUGCACUUAAUGUUUGUAGGCUUGUAAUGUGCACUUAAGUUGUAAUACCCAAUUUGUAAACAUUGAGAAAAGAGUAAAUCUCCUUAUAUAUUUUGCCUCUACUUA
Molecule: long non-coding RNA, 509 nt
Organism: Zea mays
Lineage: Eukaryota; Viridiplantae; Streptophyta; Magnoliopsida; Poales; Poaceae
Exons: 2
Source: RefSeq, a predicted model, not a curated record